This is a long non-coding RNA of Ictalurus punctatus (channel catfish), 2108 nucleotides long. The record is from Ensembl. NCBI's taxonomy places the organism in Eukaryota, Metazoa, Chordata, Actinopteri, Siluriformes, Ictaluridae.
GGAAAAAAAGAGAGAGUGGUUCAUUUGUUAGCCUCUCACCCCUCUCCAAACUAAUCACGUGCCAAAUUGAUAAAAUUAUCACACUUUUCCUUUUUGAAUUCAGCAGACGUACCAUGAAAUAUCAUUAGCGCCUCCAUCUGCGUGCGCGUCAUUACCUAUCCGAGCGUAGGAGGUUCGCGCUACGCUCGCUAUCGUCAAAAUCAUUGUUUUACCAGACGAAGCUAUGACAAGUCACCGGUAAAUUUAAUCUAAUGAUAUGCAAAUUUGGGAAAAAAAGACAAUUAGGGCUGCUCAGACUGAUGUUGGCAUGCGUGUCAGAGCGCAGCUCCACCGUCCCCCGAUCUGCGGAUGCGUAUGAAUCAGAUUAGCGGAAUAAUGAGAGCGAGAGAGAGCUUUAGCCUCGAGUGGCAUUUUCAUCCAGGCCUGUUCCAGUGCAGGAGGAAUUUCUGUAAAGGCUUAAUAAUCAGCUCGUGAUUCGCGUUUAUCUCAGACGGAGAGUGUUUUCUGGUCUACGAACGGUCGUUCACGUCCUAAUAUGCGCGAUCGAGCAAACACAAUGGUGCUUCUGAUCUCCUACGAGCAUUCCUGUCACGUUUGAUAAAUAGCACGGGCCGAGAUGUAAAUAAGCUCAUAAGCUUCUACUGUGAUAUCUGCAUAACUGAUCUAUAAAGCUUCACCGCUCCGGUGUACUCCUGAACGCAGACAUGCAGCGACACAGAGCGACUUUGUGUGACUUUUCCUGAACAGUGCGAACACGUUUAACACGGCGCUAACCUCCCACCUAACUCUCACCGUUAAUGCACAGAGACUGCCCGUUUUUCAUGUUACUGUACGUUUCUCUUGGCAGGUCAGUCAGGGCCUCUACUUUCUUCAAACCAGAAGUCAUUUUCUCAUUUCUCAUAAUUAAGAGUUAAUUGGGAGUGCACCUGUGGUUGUAUUUAAAGUGCUUACCUUUACAGCCAGUGCCUUUUAACCCUUGAUACCAUGAGACAAUCUGCGGACCUCCGCAAGUCCAGUUCCUCCUGAGAGGCAGGUACCACGGGCAUCUGUACAAACUUUGGCCCUAAAGAACAAGCUUUAGUCAAGUUAAGUUAAGGCUCUGUGUUACUGAUUAGAAGGUCGGGAGUUCAAGCCCCAGCACUGCCACAGUCUGGGUUACUGAUCGGAAGGUCUGGGGUUCAAGCCCCAGCACUGCCACAGUCUGGGUUACUGAUCGGAAGGUCGGGGGUUCAAGCCCCGGCACUGCCACAGUCUGGGUUACUGAUCGGAAGCUCGGGGGUUCAAGCCCCAGCACUGCCACAGUCUGGGUUACUGAUCGGAAGCUCGGGGGUUCAAGCCCCGGCACUACCACAGUCUGGGUUACUGAUCGGAAGGUCGGGCGUUCAAGCCCCAGCACUGCCACAGUCUGGGUUACUGAUCGGAAGCUCGGGGGUUCAAGCCCCGGCACUGCCACAGUCUGGGUUACUGAUCGGAAGCUCGGGGGUUCAAGCCCCGGCACUACCACAGUCUGGGUUACUGAUCGGUAGAUCCAGCACUGCCAAGCUGCCACUGUUGUGCCCUUAACCCUCUCUGCUCCAGGGGCGCUGUAUCAUGGCUGACCCUGUGCACUGACCCCAACCUCCUGACAUGCUGGAGGAAAGAAUGACAUGUGAAGAAAAGAAUUUCACUUUGCACAUGCAUAGGUGAUCAGUAAAGACUUUUACCCUAUCCAGUAAAGACUCAUUUCCAUUAUCCUUAGUCCUAAAGGUUCGACUGAACCCCUAGACAACAAAGGAACUGGUGACGGAACUGGAGGCAUCAAGUACCCAAAUAUGUACAGCCACCUUUAAGAGAUUCUUACAUCGCUAUGUCCUGAGAGGCUGUACGGAAGAAGCCACUACUCCAAGACAGGCAUUUGCAUUAGAUCAGCAGCAUUUCCUCAGGUCAAAUAAAACAUAAUGGGCCAUAAUGAUCAAUUGUGAAGCAUGGGGGUGGCAGCAUCAUGUUAUGGGGAUGUUUUGCUCGGAAAGGGGCUGGUGCAUUUAUAUAAAGUAUAACCUCAAGACAUAAGACAGAAAGUUAAAACUUGGGUCUUCCAGCAGAACAGUGAUCCUAAGCAUACGUCCCAC